This 465-nucleotide ribosomal RNA is filed under the name Vreelandella stevensii. Its description in RNAcentral is "partial 16S ribosomal RNA". It matches the Rfam family "Bacterial small subunit ribosomal RNA", at positions 338 to 795 of the family's 1533-position model. Lineage: Bacteria; Pseudomonadati; Pseudomonadota; Gammaproteobacteria; Oceanospirillales; Halomonadaceae. The record is from RNAcentral.
CCUACGGGUGGCUGCAGUGGGGAAUAUUGGACAAUGGGCGAAAGCCUGAUCCAGCCAUGCCGCGUGUGUGAAGAAGGCCUUCGGGUUGUAAAGCACUUUCAGUGGGGAAGAAAGCCUUGGGGCUAAUACCCUCGAGGAAGGACAUCACCCACAGAAGAAGCACCGGCUAACUCCGUGCCAGCAGCCGCGGUAAUACGGAGGGUGCGAGCGUUAAUCGGAAUUACUGGGCGUAAAGCGCGCGUAGGCGGUCUGAUAAGCCGGUUGUGAAAGCCCCGGGCUCAACCUGGGAACGGCAUCCGGAACUGGCAGGCUAGAGUGCAGGAGAGGAAGGUAGAAUUCCCGGUGUAGCGGUGAAAUGCGUAGAGAUCGGGAGGAAUACCAGUGGCGAAGGCGGCCUUCUGGACUGACACUGACGCUGAGGUGCGAAAGCGUGGGUAGCAAACAGGAUUAGAUACCCCGGUAGUC